CGGCGUGCCUAAUACAUGCAAGUCGAACGCUUCUUUCCUCCCGAGUGCUUGCACUCAACUGGAAAGAGGAGUGGCGGACGGGUGAGUAACACGUGGGUAACCUACCCAUCAGAGGGGGAUAACACUUGGAAACAGGUGCUAAUACCGCAUAACAGUUUAUGCCGCAUGGCAUAAGAGUGAAAGGCGCUUUCGGGUGUCGCUGAUGGAUGGACCCGCGGUGCAUUAGCCAGUUGGUGAGGUAACGGCUCACCAAGGCCACGAUGCAUAGCCGACCUGAGAGGGUGAUCGGCCACACUGGGACUGAGACACGGCCCAGACUCCUACGGGAGGCAGCAGUAGGGAAUCUUCGGCAAUGGACGAAAGUCUGACCGAGCAACGCCGCGUGAGUGAAGAAGGUUUUCGGAUCGCAAAACUCUGUUGUUAGAGAAGAACAAGGACGUUAGUAACUGAACGUCCCCUGACGGUAUCUAACCAGAAAGCCACGGCUAACUACGCGCCAGCAGCCGCGGUAAUACGUAGGUGGCAAGCGUUGUCCGGAUUUAUUGGGCGUAAAGCGAGCGCAGGCGGUUUCUUAAGUCUGAUGUGAAAGCCCCCGGCUCAACCGGGGAGGGUCAUUGGAAACUGGGAGACUUGAGUGCAGAAGAGGAGAGUGGAAUUCCAUGUGUAGCGGUGAAAUGCGUAGAUAUAUGGAGGAACACCAGUGGCGAAGGCGGCUCUCUGGUCUGUAACUGACGCUGAGGCUCGAAA
This 747-nucleotide ribosomal RNA is filed under the name uncultured Bacilli bacterium. RNAcentral describes it as "bacterial SSU rRNA". It matches the Rfam family "Bacterial small subunit ribosomal RNA", at positions 40 to 758 of the family's 1533-position model. Lineage: Bacteria; Bacillati; Bacillota; Bacilli. The record is from RNAcentral.